CGGAUUGCAGGCUGCAACCCGCCUGCAUGAAGUUGGAAUCGCUAGUAAUCGCGGAUCAGCAUGCCGCGGUGAAUACGUUCCCGGGCCUUGUACACACCGCCGUCACACCAUGAGAGUCGGGAACACCCGAAGUCCGUAGCCUGACCGCAAGGGGGCGCGGCCGAAGGUGGGUUCGAUAAUUGGGGUGAAGUCGUAACAAGGUAUC
RNAcentral lists this ribosomal RNA (205 nucleotides) under uncultured bacterium. Its description in RNAcentral is "partial 16S ribosomal RNA". It matches the Rfam family "Bacterial small subunit ribosomal RNA", at positions 1294 to 1500 of the family's 1533-position model. The record is from RNAcentral.